GCCCCUGUAGCUCAAUAGGACAGAGCAGUGGCCUUCUAAGCCAUUGGUUGCAGGUUCGAGUCCUGCCAGGGGCGCCU
This 77-nucleotide transfer RNA is filed under the name Chloroflexota bacterium. RNAcentral's name for it is "Chloroflexi bacterium tRNA-Arg". It matches the Rfam family "tRNA". From Rfam's summary of the family: Transfer RNA (tRNA) molecules are approximately 80 nucleotides in length. Their secondary structure includes four short double-helical elements and three loops (D, anti-codon, and T loops). The record is from RNAcentral. Lineage: Bacteria; Bacillati; Chloroflexota.